ACGUUCUGUAAUUCUGUGAAGGUAAAGCUGUCAGGCUUGCUGGAGGAAUCAGAAGUGAUCAUGCUGACAUAAGUAACAUUAAAUCCAAGUGAUGGCCGCAAGUUCAAGGUUUUCUAUUUAAUAGAUUGAAUCGGCCCCUAAGCUUUGGCUACCUAAGG
RNAcentral lists this ribosomal RNA (158 nucleotides) under Gormaniella terricola. RNAcentral's name for it is "large subunit ribosomal RNA". The record is from RNAcentral. Lineage: Eukaryota; Viridiplantae; Chlorophyta; Chlorophyceae; Chaetopeltidales; Chaetopeltidaceae.